GGGAAGGUAGCUUAGUGGUAGAGUGCUUGCCUAGCAUGCAUGAAGCCCUAGGUUCAAUUCCUCAGCCAGUUCA
This 73-nucleotide transfer RNA is filed under the name Dipodomys ordii (Ord's kangaroo rat). It matches the Rfam family "tRNA". Rfam says of the family: Transfer RNA (tRNA) molecules are approximately 80 nucleotides in length. Their secondary structure includes four short double-helical elements and three loops (D, anti-codon, and T loops). The record is from Rfam by way of RNAcentral. Lineage: Eukaryota; Metazoa; Chordata; Mammalia; Rodentia; Heteromyidae.